UUAUUUUAUAGGCUUAAUUUCAUAAAGAUUCUUAUAAAUAUAGUAAAUUAGAAAUAUAUAUUUUUUUUUAUAAAGUUUAACUUUCAUAUAUUGUUUUUAUAAGGGUGCGUUUGGUUCGCGCUAUCUUUUAAAGAUUCCUAGUAAUCCAAUGGGAAUAAAAAAUUAUGACGGUGUUUGAUUAAACGCACUAAGUAAUCUAGUUGGUAAUAUUGGAUUCACUUGGAAAUAAGAUUCACCCCAAAGUACUAAUCUCAUUCCCUUGAGGGAGGGUGGGUAUCUCAUAUUAAUGAAUUGGGGUAAUCAUAAUAUGUCUAAUCUCUUUCUUUCUUCCUACCCGCCGGCUAAUUGAUAUUAUUUGUCUUUACACUCUAAUUUUAUAUCUCUCUCUAUACUUAUUUUUCUCUCUAAAAUUCAACUUUUUUUUUUCUCUCUCUAAGCUAAGCUUUCUCUCUCUCUCUCUCUUUCUAAAAUUUCAACUCUCUCACUCCCUCUAAUUUUGACUAUAUUUUUCUUUCUAUUUUUUUAAUUAUGCUCUCUCUCUCUAACUUAUACUCUCUCUCCCUUUUUUGGUAACAUUAUCUAAAAUUAAUUAAAUAAAUAAAUCAAUUAAUUGUAUAUUUUUUGUAAUAUUAAAUAACAUGGCUAAUUAAUAUUACCGUGCGAACCAAACAUAGGAAUUCCACAUUCUUAGUAAUAGGAUGAAUAGGAAUAUGAUUCUCGGAUAUCUUUUAUUCCUAGUAAUCUUUCAUAAUGCGAACCAAACGCACCCUAAAAGUCAUGAUGUUUUCAAAUAUAUCUCUCUGAUUUGUUGCCGUUAAAGUACUGUCUAUUUUUUAACAGCAGGUAAGUGAAAUGACCUUUUUGAGUUUUUGUCAUUACAAAUAUAUCUAUCUAAAAGCAACAACAGUUAUAAUCGUACAAAAAUGUCCCUUUAAAAAUUUUCAAUGGUCAUCUUUUGCGUCAUUUUCUUUCUUUUUUAAAAUUCAACUCAUUCCACCGUUAUUGCAACAUUUUCCCCACACAUUUUCUUCUAUAUCUUUUCUUUUGAGUAAAAAAUAAAAUAAAAUUAUAAAGCAAAUUGAAUGAAAAAGCAACAUGCGUUCGAUACAAGCGAAGCAACACCCGUCGUGUAUUAAUGGAGAUGGGUUUAAAACUAGCAUGAAGAAGAGAGAGGAAGAGAAAAAGAAAAAAGAAGAAGCGUUUCCAUUAAUACAAUUUUGAUUGAGAGAAAAAAAAU
This 1237-nucleotide long non-coding RNA is filed under the name Ananas comosus (pineapple). Its description in RNAcentral is "long non-coding RNA (ACOM_LNC014431)". The record is from RNAcentral. Lineage: Eukaryota; Viridiplantae; Streptophyta; Magnoliopsida; Poales; Bromeliaceae.